UUCAGCAGCCAUAUCACCCUGCGACUCACAACUGGCAACCCACUGAAGCCAAGCAGGUGUGAGCCUGGUCAGUACCUGGAUAGGAGACCUCCUGGGAAAAACUAAGGUUGCUGCUGGAA
This is a ribosomal RNA of Lepisosteus oculatus (spotted gar), 119 nucleotides long. The record is from Ensembl. Lineage: Eukaryota; Metazoa; Chordata; Actinopteri; Semionotiformes; Lepisosteidae.